UAUGUAAUGUGCCAGCAGCCGCGGUAAUACGUAGGGGGCAAGCGUUAUCCGGAUUUACUGGGUGUAAAGGGAGCGUAGACGGAUUAGCAAGUCUGAUGUGAAAGGCAGGGGCUCAACCCCUGGACUGCAUUGGAAACUGCCAGUCUUGAGUGCCGGAGAGGUAAGCGGAAUUCCUAGUGUAGCGGUGAAAUGCGUAGAUAUUAGGAGGAACACCAGUGGCGAAGGCGGCUUACUGGACGGCAACUGACGUUGAGGCUCGAAAGCGUGGGGAGCAAACAGG
Molecule: ribosomal RNA, 280 nt
Filed under: Blautia schinkii
Lineage: Bacteria; Bacillati; Bacillota; Clostridia; Lachnospirales; Lachnospiraceae
Description: partial 16S ribosomal RNA
Rfam family: Bacterial small subunit ribosomal RNA
Source: RNAcentral